RNAcentral lists this long non-coding RNA (441 nucleotides) under Mytilus galloprovincialis (Mediterranean mussel). Lineage: Eukaryota; Metazoa; Mollusca; Bivalvia; Mytilida; Mytilidae. The record is from RNAcentral.
AUUUAAUUAGGGACUUUCUUGUUUUUGCUAACCGGGGCCCAAAGGGCCCCAUGUGAGCUUAUGUCAUCAUUUGGCGUCCGUCAUCGUCCGUUGUCGUCUGUCGUCCAUUGUCUGUCGUCGUCUAUCGUCGUCUGUCGUCGUAAACUGAUUCAAAAAUCUUCUCCUCUGAAACUGCUGUACCAAAAACCUUCAAACUGCAACUACAUAUUCCUUAGGGUAUCUAGUUUAUAAAUUGUAUCCAAAGUUUUGAUCCAUAGACAAACAUGGCCGCCAUGACUGUAAAUAGGAUAUGAGGGGUCAAAUGCAGGUUUUGGCUUAUUUCUAAAAAAACUAAAGCUUUUAGAGCAAAUCUGACAUGGGUAAAAUUGUUCAAUUGGUCAAGAUCUAUCAGCUCUGAAAUUUUUAGAAGAAUCGUACAACCCAUUGUUGGAUUGCUGCCAC